Meleagris gallopavo (turkey) is the source of this 402-nucleotide non-coding RNA. The record is from RefSeq and is a predicted model, not a curated record. Lineage: Eukaryota; Metazoa; Chordata; Aves; Galliformes; Phasianidae.
CUGUGACCCUCCGCAGCACCGGCUGGAGCUCCGCAGCGCAUUGGCAUGGGAGCGGCUGCAGAAGAAAGAAGAAGCAGUGAGUGGGACUCCGGGAGGCAACAGCGAGCAAGAGGAGGAAGGGGAAGCCUGUGCAUGGGGGCGAAAGAGAGAGGCUCUCUGGGCAAAAGCACCUCCCUGUCAGCAGGGGCACAGUCACAUUUCGGUAGAGCGCUGCCGGCACCUUGGGUGACCAGGCCGGCUUUUGUGCUGGGCGACCUCCCUGUAAGCAGGGCUCGGGUCUUUGCUGUAGUUGGCCUUUUGCCUUGUUGCUCCUUUGGCUGCCUGGGGAGCGUGGCCCCCCGUACAGAGGGCAAGAGCCACCUCCCCGCACCCGAGUGGGAAAUGGAGCUCGCUGGACCCCAA